This 497-nucleotide ribosomal RNA is filed under the name uncultured bacterium. RNAcentral's name for it is "partial 16S ribosomal RNA". It matches the Rfam family "Bacterial small subunit ribosomal RNA", at positions 28 to 507 of the family's 1533-position model. The record is from RNAcentral.
GACGAACGCUGGCGGCGUGCCUAAUACAUGCAAGUUGAGCGCUGAAGGUUGGUACUUGUACCAACUGGAUGAGCAGCGAACGGGUGAGUAACGCGUGGGGAAUCUGCCUUUGAGCGGGGGACAACAUUUGGAAACGAAUGCUAAUACCGCAUAAAAACUUUAAACACAAGUUUUAAGUUUGAAAGAUGCAAUUGCAUCACUCAAAGAUGAUCCCGCGUUGUAUUAGCUAGUUGGUGAGGUAAAGGCUCACCAAGGCGAUGAUACAUAGCCGACCUGAGAGGGUGAUCGGCCACAUUGGGACUGAGACACGGCCCAAACUCCUACGGGAGGCAGCAGUAGGGAAUCUUCGGCAAUGGACGGAAGUCUGACCGAGCAACGCCGCGGGAGUGAAGAAGGGUUUCGGAUCGUAAAACUCUGUUGGUAGAGAAGAACGUUGGUGAGAGUGGAAAGCUCAUCAAGUGACGGUAACUACCCAGAAAGGGACGGCUAACUACGUG